This 1736-nucleotide ribosomal RNA is filed under the name Salmonella enterica. RNAcentral describes it as "partial 23S ribosomal RNA". It matches the Rfam family "Bacterial large subunit ribosomal RNA", at positions 1211 to 2925 of the family's 2925-position model. The record is from RNAcentral. Lineage: Bacteria; Pseudomonadati; Pseudomonadota; Gammaproteobacteria; Enterobacterales; Enterobacteriaceae.
ACUCAGGUGUUGUUGGGUAGGGGAGCGUUCUGUAAGCCUGCGAAGGUGGCCUGUGAGGGUUGCUGGAGGUAUCAGAAGUGCGAAUGCUGACAUAAGUAACGAUAAAGCGGGUGAAAAGCCCGCUCGCCGGAAGACCAAGGGUUCCUGUCCAACGUUAAUCGGGGCAGGGUGAGUCGACCCCUAAGGCGAGGCCGAAAGGCGUAGUCGAUGGGAAACGGGUUAAUAUUCCCGUACUUGGUGUUACUGCGAAGGGGGGACGGAGAAGGCUAUGUUGGCCGGGCGACGGUUGUCCCGGUUUAAGCGUGUAGGUGUGUGUUCCAGGUAAAUCCGGUUCACUUUAACACUGAGGCGUGAUGACGAGGCACUACGGUGCUGAAGCAACAAAUGCCCUGCUUCCAGGAAAAGCCUCUAAGCAUCAGGUAACAUCAAAUCGUACCCCAAACCGACACAGGUGGUCAGGUAGAGAAUACCAAGGCGCUUGAGAGAACUCGGGUGAAGGAACUAGGCAAAAUGGUGCCGUAACUUCGGGAGAAGGCACGCUGACAUGUAGGUGAAGUGAUUUACUCAUGGAGCUGAAGUCAGUCGAAGAUACCAGCUGGCUGCAACUGUUUAUUAAAAACACAGCACUGUGCAAACACGAAAGUGGACGUAUACGGUGUGACGCCUGCCCGGUGCCGGAAGGUUAAUUGAUGGGGUCAGCGCAAGCGAAGCUCCUGAUCGAAGCCCCGGUAAACGGCGGCCGUAACUAUAACGGUCCUAAGGUAGCGAAAUUCCUUGUCGGGUAAGUUCCGACCUGCACGAAUGGCGUAAUGAUGGCCAGGCUGUCUCCACCCGAGACUCAGUGAAAUUGAACUCGCUGUGAAGAUGCAGUGUACCCGCGGCAAGACGGAAAGACCCCGUGAACCUUUACUAUAGCUUGACACUGAACAUUGAGCCUUGAUGUGUAGGAUAGGUGGGAGGCUUUGAAGUGUGGACGCCAGUCUGCAUGGAGCCGACCUUGAAAUACCACCCUUUAAUGUUUGAUGUUCUAACGUGGACCCGUGAUCCGGGUUGCGGACAGUGUCUGGUGGGUAGUUUGACUGGGGCGGUCUCCUCCUAAAGAGUAACGGAGGAGCACGAAGGUUGGCUAAUCCUGGUCGGACAUCAGGAGGUUAGUGCAAUGGCAUAAGCCAGCUUGACUGCGAGCGUGACGGCGCGAGCAGGUGCGAAAGCAGGUCAUAGUGAUCCGGUGGUUCUGAAUGGAAGGGCCAUCGCUCAACGGAUAAAAGGUACUCCGGGGAUAACAGGCUGAUACCGCCCAAGAGUUCAUAUCGACGGCGGUGUUUGGCACCUCGAUGUCGGCUCAUCACAUCCUGGGGCUGAAGUAGGUCCCAAGGGUAUGGCUGUUCGCCAUUUAAAGUGGUACGCGAGCUGGGUUUAGAACGUCGUGAGACAGUUCGGUCCCUAUCUGCCGUGGGCGCUGGAGAACUGAGGGGGGCUGCUCCUAGUACGAGAGGACCGGAGUGGACGCAUCACUGGUGUUCGGGUUGUCAUGCCAAUGGCACUGCCCGGUAGCUAAAUGCGGAAGAGAUAAGUGCUGAAAGCAUCUAAGCACGAAACUUGCCCCGAGAUGAGUUCUCCCUGAGACUUUAAGUCUCCUGAAGGAACGUUGAAGACGACGACGUUGAUAGGCCGGGUGUGUAAGCGCAGCGAUGCGUUGAGCUAACCGGUACUAAUGAACCGUGAGGCUUAACCUU